CCUACGGGAGGCAGCAGUGGGGAAUAUUGCACAAUGGGCGCAAGCCUGAUGCAGCAACGCCGCGUGAAUGAAGAAGGCUUUCGGGUUGUAAACUUCUUUUGACAGGGAAGAGGAGAGUACGGUACCUGCCUCAUAAGCCACAGCUAACUACCUGCCAGCACCCGCGGUAAUUCGGAGGUGGCAAGCGUUGUCCGGAUUUACUGGGUGUAAAGGGCGUGUAGCCGGGUUGACAAGUCAGAUGUGAAAUCCUUGGGCUUAAACGCAGAACUGCAUUUGAAACUGGUGAUCUUGAGUACUGGAGAGGCAGACGGAAUUCCAAGUGUAGCGGGGAAAUGCGGAGAUAUUUGGAGGAACACCAGUGGCGAAGGCGGGCUGCUGGACAGAAACUGACGGUGAGGCGCGAAAGCGUGGGGAGCAAACAGGAUUAGAUACCCGAGUAGUC
Molecule: ribosomal RNA, 442 nt
Filed under: uncultured bacterium
Lineage: Bacteria
Description: partial 16S ribosomal RNA
Rfam family: Bacterial small subunit ribosomal RNA
Source: RNAcentral